Mirounga angustirostris (Northern elephant seal) is the source of this 4861-nucleotide RNA transcript. It is a transcript of the gene named 14-3-3 protein beta/alpha-like, with no coding region annotated. The record is from RefSeq and is a predicted model, not a curated record. Lineage: Eukaryota; Metazoa; Chordata; Mammalia; Carnivora; Phocidae. The transcript has a single exon.
GUGUCAUGUUUUGUGUUGAGCCAGGAAUCUCAGGAUUUAUCCCAUUACUAGCAAGGGUUUUAAACAAACUAGUUUUAAACAAACAAGCUAGCUUAAACACACUAGAUUUACAUUUUCGGUAGAGCAACCCAGGUACGACAUGGAGAAUGUAUUUGAAGGGGGCAGGACUAGAAGCAGGCUCUUUCGUAGAGCUCACUCGAGCUGGGAUCUAGGGUAGAGUCGAAGUAAUAGGGGGGAGGGAGGAAAUCAGGAGUAGAAAUUUUUGGAAAAGCAAAUCGGCAAUUUUGUUUAAUUGCUUGCUUUUCCGAAAUAGUAGACAAGAGGCGGAAGUGGAGCCGCCGCCGCCUGAGGAGGGGGCUGGGGAGGGACGCGGUCACCGCGCUGCCGGCUUCGCUCACACGCGUCUCUGCGCCCUGUUGCCCUCCCCCCGGGAACGACCGCGGGUAAAAGUGAGCUGGUACGGCGAGCCAUGGCUGCGGCCUCGGAACAGGGGCACGAACUCUCCAGUGGGGAGGCAAAUCUGCUCUCCGUCGCCUACAAGGACGUGGGGGGCGCCCGCCGCUCGUCGUGGCGCGUCACCCCCAGCACUGAGCAGAAAACCGGGCGGACGGAGGAGCAGCAGCGGCUGGGCAGAGAGCGCCGGCGGAAGACAGAGGCCGAGCGGCAGGUAUCCGCGAUGAUGUCCGGGAGCUGUUGGACAAACAUCUUGUUCCCAGCGCUACACAACCAGAAAGCAAGGUGUUCUGCUUGAAAAGGAAAGGAGAUCAUUUUAGGUAUCUCUCGGAGGUGGCAUCUGGAGGUAGUAAACAAAGCACUGUGUCGAACUCCCAGCAGGCUUCCCAGGAAGCAUUUGAAAUGAGUAAGAAAGAAAUGCAGCCUGCACACCCAGUUCGACGUGGCCUGGCCCUGAAUUUCUCAGUCUCCUGCUAUGAGAUUCUAAAUUCUCCUGAAAAGGCUUGCAGCCUGGCAAAACCGGCCUUUGAUGAAGCAAUUGCUGAAUUGGAUACACUGAAUGCAGAGUCUUACAAAGACAGCACCCUGAUCAUGCAGUUGCUUGGGGACCGUCUCACACUGUGCACGUCGGAAAACCAGGGAGAUGAAAGAGAUGCUGGGGAGGGAGAGAACUAAUGUCUGUUGUGCUUCGUGAUCUGUUCAAUGUCACUCUGUACCCUCCACAUAUAUCCCUUUGUGCGAUUAAAAGAAAAAAAAAAGAGUCGGACGUCGACUUUCAAUUUUUCACAGCCUCAGCCUAGCAAAAUGGUCCAUGGGAUAAACAGCUGGUGUUUGUAUCUAAAACUCAGAUUGGUCACAUAAAUGCCACGGCAUUCUGAAAUUUUGAUUUUGAUUGACAUUGAUAGGAUUACUGUGUGUUGAAUUUUUUUUAAACUGAACACUGUGAUUAUGGGGUUUUGUAACUUAGCAGAACUCUUACUGGUAGAAAAACUAGACCUGAAUUAUGUGUAACUUUUUGGAAAGUUUAAUCUGAUAUCAAACUAGUCACUGAAAUAACAGUUCCACGGUAAAGUUGUACAGAAAGUUAUAGAGAUUAUAUUGGGACGUGGAGUGAGACACCUGUCCUGUGACAUUCAAGUGUGACAGUAACUCACAGUAGUUCUGCCUGUUUUUUGGGGAUUACAGACACUUGGCCAGUUGGGGCUGUUGCCACUCGAAAGUUCAUGACUGCAGAUGUCCACAGUGUCUUCCUCUGAGUAAACUCGAAGCCUGAAAUGGAAACUCUUUGUGGCAGUUAAUUGGAUUUUGACACCAUGAAAAGGUCCAGUGUUCCUAAAACAUGUGACUGACACCCCUUUCCCACAGCCAUCUGACUGAUUUGCAACUUGUGCUCCAGUAGUGGAAUCUGUUUUCCUUGUAACCAGGACCUGAAGAAGAAAAAAGCCGUGUAUCUCAUGAAUGGCCUUCUCUGUUUCCUGGGUAAUACCUUAAGAGUCAUGUUCUGCAGAGAUUGCCUUUCACUUAAGAAGUACUCAGUCUUUGGGUGCUUCCUAGCUUGGGGCUUUUAAAAUUUUGAAAUCAAACAUUCUUCCCACUGUCCUUUUUGACUGACUGUUGACUUUGGUUUUUCUUUUCCCUCCUUAAGUUUCUGUCCUGUUUCCUUACAUUUUUUUCUUUUUGAAUUCUGUCGUUGUCUUCUGUUCUUUGUUUAAUACUGUUUGGGCAGGGCGGGGGCCUGAAGGGGGUGAGCAAAGAUGGCGAGCACUUUGGUCAGCAGACCUCGCUUCAGAGAGUUGAGAAGAGCUUCCAGCACACAGCUCUGGCUUCCUCCGGUUCUCAGCACGCUUGUUGCUCUUCAGUCAGACCGAGAUUGAAUCAAAAAAGUGUUUUUAAAUACCCAUGAUUUCUCCCUGUGUUGCAGCCAGCCCUGAUAACGCUUGUUAGUACCUGUCACCAGGUCUCCCAAGUGUGCUCCUCCAGCCAAGUUCACAGACCUGUUUGAACAAGACCCUAUAAUGCAGGGAAGUUGCAUGAACACCGCAGUGGGGAGAGUCCAGAAUAGCCAGUCCUACCAGUCUCACAGUACCCCCUCUCCCUUGAACAUUCCACGUAGCUGUAGUGUCCACCUGUUUGUCCAUCUGCUGAAAUGAGAAAAGAAACAUUCAUGCACUGAUUUAAAACCAAAAAAAAAGAAAAAAGAAAAAAAUCCCUCCCCCCCUUUCUAGCUGAACAAAAACGUGCAGUUAAACGUGCACUACUGCUUGAAAAUGCAGUAGUGAAUGUGGAACGAGCCUGUCUGUAUAUCUGGUAGCUCUUUCUUGCUUCCGUUUUUCCUUACCAGUAUUCUGCCUCACAUUUGCUUCUGUGACGGUCAAGCACUCCUGUGGUUGUGAAAAUAGUAUAGCCAAAAAAAAAAAAAAAGAAAAAGAAAAAUCCCCAGUUAUUGAUGUACUAGAUUUGUGUAUGUCUUUUAAACAGUUCUAGUUUCCACCUUAACAUGGAAUAAUCAGGAAAAGUGUGAAAAUUCAAAAGUGAAAUAAAAAAUUUUAUCAGUUGCCUGUGGAAAAAAAAAUUGUAGAGAAGACCUACGGAUUUUUGGUUUGGUAACCGUUAACAUAGGAGGAAAAAAAGGGUGGUAGAUGAAGGGAGGAAUAUGGUAAGUAAGCACAUGGCCUUGGGCAUAUUGAAUUUGGGUUGUAUGUGGGAUAUCCAUGUAAGUCUAAUUAAUGCCAUGUUUAAGACGGGGGGGACAGAGACAGAAGAAAAUGAUACUACCAUCAAAGAUUGAACAGUGCCUAAACAUAGGGUUUGAAUUAUUUGAUAAGAUUGAGUUUAGAUGAGUUCAUGAAAAGAUCAAAUUAUAGGUAAAACAUACAACUUUUAUUUUUCAGUGCAUCUGAAUUUUUUGAGCAACUUAAUUGCUCCCACUACUUAGUAAAAACCUUUAGCACCUUGUAAAUAUUCAAGUAAUGGUGACUAUAAUUAUUAUUAGUUAGAAUUUAACAUCACCUUGGCAUUGGGGAAAAUCCCAAGAUUGGGAUGUAAAAAUUCUUGUUUCUUCCAAAAUCAGAGUCCAUAAAACUCCAUGUGUGAACUAUGCAAUUAAAUCAUGUUCUUGUGAUUAAGUGUCUGAUAGAGUGAGAAAGAGAUGAAUAGACAGAGCUGGGUUAAGAAUAGAGGACAUUUCUGAAACAGACGGACUUGGUUGGUUUUGAAGGUCUGGAAAGGCAGGUGGGGACAGAUUGAAAAAGGACUCAUGUGAAGCCAACGAAUAUGGACUUGAUCUUGUAGGCAUCGACUAUUUAAACAUGAGGAGACUUGCUUGAACAGAUAUGAUUUUGAUGAUGGCAUCUGUGUGAAGACACACUGAAGGAUGGAGAGGUUAUAGUCACAGAGCUUAGGGACUAAAGCAGUGGGAAUGGAACAGGAACAUGAUGGAGAAAACCUAGAACCAAUGUUGUCUGACCCAGUGUAGUGGUGGGUGGAAGACAUUUGUGUACAAUACUCUGAGGUUUCUAGCUUGAUGUAAAAUAAUUGCUUCAUGGUGAAUGUUUACUUCACUUUCUUCAAACUUUGCUGUGAAAUGUUUCAUCUAUUUUUUUUUUUACAAGGUAAAGUGUAAAUGAUCGGCACUUUUGAUCUUUGGGUUUCCCAUUACUAGAUAACUAAAGGCAAAUCAUAUCAUUGUUCUCACUGAUUUUCAGAGGGAAUAUUAAUCCUAAACUAAAUAUCAUUCUUCUUAGUAUAAGAUAUUUAUUAUUGCUUUUUUCAUCAUCCUUGUUUCCAUUAACAUCACUGGUCGCCCUUUCGGUUGUAAUGCUUACAUUUAUUAAUAUUUGUUUAAUACAGGUAUAUUUAGAAGUGGCUCUGGGUUAAAGUUAGCCAUAUUGGAACAAAAAGAGUUCAAAAAAACCAUACUCUAUGAAGUGAUUGUCUGGAAAUGCUAUGAGGGUGCAUGAUAUUUUCUUUUAGUCACUGAUUCUUUUUCAUUUUAUAAUCUAGAUUUAGAUCUAGAUGCCAUUGACUUAGUUAGGCUUACAUAGUAGUGUUUCUCAUUGUUUUAAGCCCAGGUGGCGCUAAGAUAUAUACAUUUCAUACAAACAUACAUACACUUCAUAUUGUGAAUUAGGACCCAGUAAUUUCCUUCACCUUCCGGAAUUCCCAAACAGCCUGACAAACAGUCUUGUUCUAAUUUUUAUAUAGCCUUUAAACAGAGUUCCAUUUUAAAUUGGGGUUAAAUGCUCUUCUGGCACAAAUUUUCUUUUGUAAUGCAGAUUUAUUUCCUAGAGCAGCAGUUCUCAAGCUUUUUGGCUCCAGACCUCUUUAUAUGUUUUACAUUUUUGCAGUGUACAUCUUAAAUGUUUGACUGGGUAAUAAACUGGAUUUUCAUAUCUGCUUCUGCAUUCAA